This is a long non-coding RNA of Salvelinus fontinalis (brook trout), 664 nucleotides long. RefSeq lists it as uncharacterized. The transcript has 3 exons. NCBI's taxonomy places the organism in Eukaryota, Metazoa, Chordata, Actinopteri, Salmoniformes, Salmonidae. The record is from RefSeq and is a predicted model, not a curated record.
GCUACCUCUGACUCCGCCUACCACUAAACAACACCCUCCAGUUUCCCGCCACAGCAGUUCAGAAACAGCAUGCAGUGAAGAAGUGUGGUGGUCUGGCAAUGGCGUUGUUGUCUGAGUGUUGCAGUCAUCUGGUUCCUGUCUUUCAGCCAGUCGAACUCAGUUUUCAUGGAAACACUUCGUUGUCGUGUGGGGGAGUCCUUAUCCAUAGAAAUACCUGAUGAUGACCAGUGUCCGUUGUCAAACUUCAGUGUUUGUACAGAGAAAAUUGGCCAAGUGUUCGAGUAUAGCAAGAAGCUGUCAGAGUUGACUGUGGAUCCACGUUAUCAGGACAGGAUCCAGUUGAAGAAUGACGCCAACGGCCUUGCUGUUGUAAUUUGGAAUGUAACCAAAGAAGAUGAAAAGCAACAGUAUUAUGUGGACUGUGCAUCUACAAUUCUAAAGAGAUUUGUAAUUCAAAUUCUAAGUAAGAAGCUUCCUGUCAAUCUUUUUAAUGCAAAAAAAGUUGGUUUGGAAGUACAUGUGACAGUAGAGCGGUUUCUAAAGUUCCACUGUUGCUUAGCUGUACUGAAGGGAUGAAACAUCAGUUAUAAAGCUGGUAUUGCUAUUGUAAACAUUGCAGCACUAUUUAACACAAACUAAUUAAGCUUUUUUUUCUUAUGGUAUA